Long non-coding RNA from Cygnus atratus (black swan), 2826 nucleotides. RefSeq lists it as uncharacterized. The record is from RefSeq and is a predicted model, not a curated record. The transcript is spliced from 5 exons. Lineage: Eukaryota; Metazoa; Chordata; Aves; Anseriformes; Anatidae.
AUCAUGGCAAGCAGGUCCAAGCACCCCUGGGAAGCAGCUGGAUGCACGACAUUGCCAGGAUACUGUUGCUUAUCUCGCAGGCUCCUUCCCCCCUCGGGGUGACUGCGGUUGUGCUGACACAGCCGGAGCAGUGACAGCACUUUCCUGGCCUGCAGCCAUUGAUAGAGGCAGCAGCCCCUGGCUUGCUCUGCAGUGGUUCUUCCUGCGCUCCUCAAAGCAGCCGCCAACCGGGACAAUGCCCCCCGUACUGGGCCUGGGGAGCAAGAGCUGCUGGCGCUGCGUGUGCUAAAGUACUCUCAGCUGGUGGGCACGGGGUAUCUCCCUGCUGUGGGUAGUUACAGGUCACUGGCAGCCCUCUCCGGGACAGCUGUGCCCACGCAGCAGCCUCCGUGAGGCAGGCAGCACGGGAUGGUGACCAGCUCCACUAUCGCCCAUCCUUCUUUGCGGAGCAAGCAGAGGUCCGUGCUGCCUGCUCCCACCCUGUGCUGGAGCUGGGAUGUAUAGCAGGAGAAAUGUGGCCAUCUGCUUCUCAGCUGUACCCUCAGCACGCUUGCUUUAUCCCCAUCUUCCCUCCUGCAGCCCCCACCUAACCCUCAUCCCCAGCGCUCUUUUCUCCCAAUAACACACGCACCCGCUGCUGGGUUAGAGAGGAGUGUUAUUUUUGUGUCUGCUGUAGCUAAAUGCUUGUCCGGAAAGGAUCCUUGUCAGUGGGACCGGGGGAGCUGGGAUCCCAAGGGAUGGCUUUCUAGGAACGGUGUGGGACUGUGGGAUGCUGAGCCUUCGGGCGGGGGGGGAAUGAAGCAGGGAGUGUUAGCAGCGAAGCCUGAAGAGUUAAUUUUGGGAGCCUAACAACACCCCUUUCCUUCUCCCUUGGCUGCCAGGAGAACCUGUGGAGGGAGAGGCGGGGGGAAACAUCUCCCCUCUCCUGCAGGGCAGCAGUCCAGGAUGGGGUUUAGAGUGCCAGCAGCCUUCCUUCCUCCAGGCUGGCAGGUCCGUACGGAGGAGGAUGGGAGCGGGGCAGAGCUGGCUGCUAGCUUCUGGCCGCCUGCUCUUUAGGACUGUCCUCCUGCAGGUCCUCCUCGUCCGACUGCACCACGGGGGUCUCGGCCCCCUCCUCGCUGGUGUCCAAGCUGUUGGGAUCCGUGGAGACGGACGACGUGGAGGAAAUGCGUGACUUGGUCGCGGCUGCGCUGGGCACUGGUAGGGUGAUUUCCUCUGCGCACUGGCUGGCGUCCGCCCCUGGAGCAGAGGGAGCCCAGAAACACGUCCACGGUGUCCUGGUCUGACAGGUCCAUCAUGUCCAUCUGCUCCAGCAUGUCCACGUUCACCUCCAUGGAGGAAAUGCUGCCUAAGGGGGCUGCGGAGAGAGAGGCCAGCAAAAAGGUGAGACACAGGGAAGAAGAAAUCUACGUCGUGCUGGAAAACCUCCUCAAAGAACUUCUGCCGCUCCCGUAGUUUCAGCUGCUGCUGCUGCAUCUGCUCCGUGUCCAGGCUGCGCUGCCCCUGCUCCAUGUCGGCUGGGGAGGAAGGCAAGGAGGGUCAGGCCAGGCGGGGCUGUCCGAGCCCUCCUGCCCGUCCCAGCUCACAUGGCGCUGCUGUGCUGGAGCUUAGUUCAGCGCUGGUGCUUGUGUCCCUGGCUCGCACGGGAACGACAGAGCCCUUGGGCAGUUGCUGAAGGAAAGCAGAAGUGAGCCUCGUGCUGCAUCCCAGGAGCUGGUGCGUCCCUCGGGGGCUGGGUACCCACAGCAGCUCUUGGCCCAGCCGGCACAAGGAAAAUGUGAUUACUGGAGCAGGCAGUGCAGUAACCAAGGGAACCAAACAAACAUCCCCUGCUUUGCCUGAGCGCAGCCCAAACCUUCCACUCCUCCGGGCUAGGGAGGGAGCCGAGCAGCAGCCAGCGCUCAGCAUCCCCACCCUGUCUGGCAGGAGCAGGGGCGAGGGCAGCGGGGGGCUGUCAGCAACAUUCAGUGGUGUCGGACCCCAACAGGAGAGAGGCGGCGCGCCUGGGGAGAUGUCCCGGAGAUAAACGUCACAUCCCGAGAGCCCUUUCAGUGCUCUUCUGCCCUCUGCACCCCGUUCUCUGGGACAUCCUUCAGCUGAACCCCAGGCCCCUGCCUCAGGAGCUCUUUUUGGAAGUGGCCCCGCUCCUCUUUUGACUGCUCAGCGUGUUCCUGGGAUGGCCGGGGCAGCAGCCCUGGCCGCCUGAAGGGCCCUUUGCUUUGGCACGUCUGACCUGAGCACUGGGCACCCGCAGAGGCUUGCGGUGCCGAGCAGAACCUGGGCUGAGAGCUGUGGUGGCAAAAGCACAGUCCAGGUUAAGCUUUGCUUAACCAGCAGCUGACGGGUGCUGCUGCCCCUCAGCACGGAGCGCAGGGGAGGUUUUUGCCUUGCCACCUGCAGCAGGGCUCGGCCAGGGACAAGGAGGGGCUGCACUGGGACAGGGACGGAGGUGACCAGGGCACUAAUUACAGAGCUGCUGCUUUGCUGCUGCUGGAGCCAGCCCUGUCCUGUCUCCCCCAGGCAAAGCUCUGCCCCCCAGCCCAGCUGUGCCAAAUCUGUGGCAAACAGCCCAGGGUUCAUCAUGCUCCUCAGGGCUGAGGAGAGCUCAUCGGGCUGGGCUCAGAGUGCAGACUGUGCCAGCUUUUUAUCAGAAGGAGGACGUGACCCCCUCGCCUGCCCGCCUUGUCUCAUUUCAGGCUCCCAGAUUUGGGGGGGAUGGACCAGCUCUCUCUGUGCAGCAUCUUCCCAAAGGCGCCCUGAUUUCAGGGUAAGGUGGAGAGUCUCCAAAUCCUGCAGUGCAAAUGCAAAAUAAACCAAAAUGCUGGC